Serinus canaria (Common canary) is the source of this 2516-nucleotide long non-coding RNA. RefSeq lists it as uncharacterized. Lineage: Eukaryota; Metazoa; Chordata; Aves; Passeriformes; Fringillidae. The transcript has 2 exons. The record is from RefSeq and is a predicted model, not a curated record.
UCUGCGAGAACCAAGCACAGCGUCCGCGGAACAUCGCGGCGGGAGCCGCCCUGAGGGGAGGAGAGGACAGAGGGAACCGCCCUGAGGGGUACGGCCUUGAGAGGCUGGAAGGAGGUGGGAACCGCCCUGAGAGGAGACGAGGGCGGGAACGGCCGUGAGGGGAGCGGCCGUGAGGGACUUGGGGGGCGGCGGGAAACGCCCUGAGGGGAACUGCCCUGAAGGGAAACGAGGGCGGGAACGGCCGUGAGGGGCUGGAAAGGAGGCAGGAACGGCCGUGAGGGGAAACGAGGGCAGGAACGGCGGUGAGGGGCUGGAAACGAGGCAGGAACGGCCGUGAGGGGCUGGAAAGGAGGCAGGAACCGCCCUGAGGGGAAACGAGGGCGGGAACGGCCGUGAGGGGCUGGAAGGAGGCGGGAGGGCCGUGAGGGGAAGCCCGGCGAGAAGGAGAAUGGCUGGAGCUGCGUCAGGGAGCUGGAUAUUAGGGAAAGGUUCUUCCCCCACAGCCACAGAGCGGCCAGGCACUGGAACAGCGCCCCAGGGCAGCCCCAAGCCUGACAGGGCUCAAAGGGCACUUGGAAAACACGCUGAGGCACAGGGCGGGGUUUUGGGGUCUCCGUGUAGAGCUAGGAGUUGGACUCGAUCCUUGUUCUCGCAGAAGCUUUUCUCAGAAAAACCCUUGCAUUUUGCUGAUUCCGGAAACUGCUUGCAGAAAAAUUGCUUUUGUUUCAUAAAGCACUAAUGAGGCUUGUUUCAUGCUUGAAGCUUCCCAAGAUAUCCCUCAGGAUAACCCGUCCCCUGGGAACUGUUGCCAGCAGCAGCAGCAGCACAGCAAGAUCCUGAGUACCUCAGUAGCCCAAGGACGCUGGAUAAAACAGAGAAAGUAUUUCUGGACAUGGUCCUGAAAUCCAGCAGUUACAGGAAAUGAGCCUCUGGUGUGGUCACGUGUUGUUUUCCCACAGACAGGGGAUUUUUAAGUAAACUGUCAAAGUGUUUCCUAAGUAGGAACAGAAAAAUCCCACAGAUGCAAUCAGAGCAAACCUCCCCAGUGUAGGAAGAUGAUGAUGGGUCCUUUGGAGACAGGGUGACUCCACAUUGCCGCCACUGAAUCUUCAGUUUCUGCAGUUAUCUCCACUCCUGUCCUAAUUAGGGUGAAGCUCUCUUGGUGGAGUGGUUACCCAACAAUUAUUCUGGUGCUCUUGAGGAUAGGAAAGGUGGAGCUGAGGUGGUGGAAAGCACUUUGGUGGCCCUUCAUGAUCCAGGGGAGGAGGCCAGGACAUGUUCCACAGCUCCUCUGGCUCACACAGCACCCAGUGCUGCUCCUCCACUGGGGUGUCUGGGAGAGAGGCUGAAACCUUUUCCUCUCUCCAAGGCCACCUUCUCUCACACAGGGAGCACUGCUGGGCCUGCCUGAGUGUAUCUGGUGCUGCAGGCUGAGCUGUGUCCUGCAGUCCCGUGCUGACAUGAGCACUGUGCACAAGCCCCCAGCCCCGACAGCCCUGCCUGUCCUGCCUGAUGAAUCGCAAAAGGGAUUCCCGUCACAGGGCCCUGCCCCUCAGCAACCUACCAUGUGGGUGUUGCAUGUGCAACAGCCUGGAUUUGCCUAAUCCCUAACAAAAACACUGGUUAUAACAAAAAUAGCUAUGGAACAAGACAAUAUCAAUCAAAAAUCCCAAGAGUAUGUUCUGUGACACCAUCACAGCAAAUCUUAAUAUACGAAAGAAGAGACAUGAGAUGCCCUGAGUCACCAGGAUCACUUGAUCCCACACAAGUGAUCCUGGUUAAAAUAAAAACGACCUGAUGGCAGCAGCAUUGGUUUUGGGUAGUGUGAAUCCCCCACAGUGUAAGAGAGGGCUGGCCCCAACUGCACUUCUCCGUGGGCUCAAGCACAGAGAAAACCAGAACUGAAAUUCACCAGCACACACAUCUGCUUCCCCCAGGCUCAGCUUUACACCACACACUCCAAGAGGCAUCUGCCAGAGUUCUCCCCAUUAGAGUGAGCACCAUCCCCUGCCAUCGCUCCUUCUAUGUCCCACCUUGUGUCCCCAAGGUUCUUCAUCCCUUUUUAAACCUUGUGCCUUCCCUUCAGAGCCAUGCAGGAGCCUCCAGCCAGGCAGAUACCACACCAGCAAAAAAACGUCUUUAAUUCUGUUUUAUUGAUGGAAAAGUGUUCUUGCAUCUUCUCAGUGGGAUAAAAAAAGCACAACUGCCCAUCAUGCCACCAAGGCCACAUACCCACCCACAACACAGAGGCCAUCAGAGCCUGUGAAAUCAGCUUGUCAAGUCACUCUGAAGAAACAUUUUAAGGACUAGCAGUUUAUUAAGGGAUAAAAAUUCUGCAAAAUUUUGAGCAGUGAAAAGUUAUCAUUAUUUUUUAAGCAGCAGUGGGGGCAUUAUUAGCUACACGCUCAAAAGGCCUGCGGAGCCCCCUUGAUGCUGUGGCUAAGUAGUAUUUUUAACAAGGCUUAUUAGCAAAUUUCUGAAAGGAAGUUGAUCAGUCUUGUGGCUAUGAUGAAGAA